GGGUGGGUCCGGCGCGGCAGACACCUGCGAACCCCGUCAGGUCCGAGAGGAAGCAGCGGUAAGUGGGUCCCUCUGGGCGCCGCCGGGUUGCCUGCCCGGU
RNAcentral lists this signal recognition particle RNA (100 nucleotides) under Chloroflexi bacterium RBG_19FT_COMBO_55_16. RNAcentral describes it as "signal recognition particle sRNA small type". It matches the Rfam family "Bacterial small signal recognition particle RNA". Rfam says of the family: The signal recognition particle (SRP) is a universally conserved ribonucleoprotein involved in the co-translational targeting of proteins to membranes. Archaeal SRP consists of a 7S RNA and homologues of the eukaryotic SRP19 and SRP54 proteins. The record is from RNAcentral. Lineage: Bacteria; Bacillati; Chloroflexota.